GCUUUUAAAGGAGAGAGUUUCCAACUGGUCUUAGGCACCAGCAUUUCUUGGUGCAAAUCCAAGUAAAAGCU
This 71-nucleotide transfer RNA is filed under the name Staurois latopalmatus (Sabah splash frog). RNAcentral describes it as "tRNA-Leu(CUN)". Lineage: Eukaryota; Metazoa; Chordata; Amphibia; Anura; Ranidae. The record is from RNAcentral.